CCACGGGUGAGUAACACGUAUCCAACCUGCCGUCCACUCUUGGACAGCCUUCUGAAAGGAAGAUUAAUACAAGAUGGCAUCAUGAGUUCACAUGUUCACAUGAUUAAAGGUAUUCCGGUAGACGAUGGGGAUGCGUUCCAUUAGAUAGUAGGCGGGGUAACGGCCCACCUAGUCAACGAUGGAUAGGGGUUCUGAGAGGAAGGUCCCCCACAUUGGAACUGAGACACGGUCCAA
This 234-nucleotide ribosomal RNA is filed under the name uncultured bacterium. RNAcentral's name for it is "partial 16S ribosomal RNA". It matches the Rfam family "Bacterial small subunit ribosomal RNA", at positions 102 to 334 of the family's 1533-position model. The record is from RNAcentral.